UACGUAGGGUGCAAGCGUUGUCCGGAAUUAUUGGGCGUAAAGAGCUCGUAGGCGGUUUGUCGCGUCGAAUGUGAAAACCCGGGGCUCAACCCCGGGCCUGCAUUCGAUACGGGCAGACUAGAGUUCGGUAGGGGAGUCUGGAAUUCCUGGUGUAGCGGUGAAAUGCGCAGAUAUCAGGAAGAACACCAACGGCGAAGGCAGCUCGCUGGGACGGUACUGACGCUGAGACGCGAAAGCGUGGGGAGCAAACAGG
Molecule: ribosomal RNA, 253 nt
Filed under: uncultured bacterium
Lineage: Bacteria
Description: partial 16S ribosomal RNA
Rfam family: Bacterial small subunit ribosomal RNA
Source: RNAcentral